UGACAACCUCUGUUCAGUUCAUCAGGAUAUUGUAACAGUCCAUAAUAGGAAUUUUAUGUUUAUGCCUGCAGCGUCUAUGGUUGGGGUCCAAAAGAUGAGCCUGAACCCUCAAAUAAGACGUGAGUGCCAUUACAGAACCAAGUUUUGAAUUAUAAGCCAUUAUUAAUUGUUAAACAUUUUACCACUAACUCACAACGUACUGUGUAAUGUUAUCUGAGCAGGGAAGAGAUCAGCAAAAUGAACACAGAAGUGAGUCAAAAUGGGGCCAGUGAAAAUGACCAGGCCGCACUAGAUGGCACUCUCAGUCUGUCUAAAGUCAGCAUACAAGACGACCUGAUGAGGUUUGAUGGGAAGGCACAAGAUCCAGGUAAGGGCUGGGCUUACAAAGCUAAACAUCUUCUGCAAUUUAUCAAAGUAUAUGAAUUAAUCCAAUGUUUUGAGGUUUUCAGGCCUAAAAUGUGAGAAGUAAUUGGAAAACAUGUUUUUUUGUUAGUUUCAGGGCGCAGUUACCUGUUCAACUCUUCCACUAGUGAACGGCGUUGGUUGUAGGGGACGUCCAGUCUUACCAUCAACGACCUGCACUGAUUUAAGUGCUGUUUAUACCAUCUGGAGCUGAAGAGGAUUCAUAUGAUGUGGAUUCAUAGUAUGUGGAUUCAUAGUAGGUGCGCAAUCAGGCAUUUUAGCAUAAUUGUGAUUUCAAUUACAGGUCGAUUUGAAGUUUGUAAGAGUGAUAUUUUAAAAGGUACUAUUUAAUACAUAAUCAUGCUGACCUGCUGUGUUGGAGGCUACUCCUUAAUUACUAUUCCUGUGUGUGUACUCAUGUAGUUCAGCAUCAACAGUAUACCUUAUAUAUACACACAGAAGUAUGUGGACACCCCUUCAAAUUAGUAGAUGUGGCCAUUUCAGCCACACCCGUUGCUGAUUGGUGUAUAAAAUCUAGCAAACAGCCAUGCAAUGUCCAUUGACAAAGAUUGGCAGUAGCAUGGCAUUACUGAAGAGCUAAGUGAAUUUUAAUGUGGCACUGUCAUAGGAUGCCACCUUUCCAACAAGUCAGUUCAUCAAAUGUUUCCCCUGCUAGAGCUGCUGUAAGUGCUGUUAUUGUAAAGUGGAAAUGUCUAGGAGCAACAACGGCUCAGCCGCAAAGUGGUAGACCACACAAGCUCACAGAACAGGACCGCUGAAUGCUGACGCACGUAUAAAUAGUCAAUCCUCAGUUGCAAUAUUCAUUACGGAGUUCCAAACGGCCUCUGGAAGCAACAUCAGCACAAUAACUGUUUGUCGGGAGCUUCAUAAAAUGAGUUUCCAUGGCCGAGCAGUCACACAAAAGUCUAAAAGUACCAUGCAUAAUGCCAAGCAUCGGCUGGAGUGGUGUAAAGCUCACCACAUUUAGACUCUGGAGCAGUGGAAACACGUUCUCUGGAGUGACGAUUCACUCUUCAUCUGGCAGUCCGACGGACAAAUCUGGGUUUGGCGGAUGCCAGGAGAACCCUACCUGCUCCAAUGCAUAGUGCCAACUGUAAAGAUUGGUGGAAGAGGAAUAAUGAUCUGGGGCUGUUUUUCAUGGUUCGGGCUAGGCCCAUUAGUUAAAGUGAAGAGAAAUCUUUGCUACAGCAUACAAUGACAAUUCUAGAAGAUUCUGUGCUUCCAAAUUUG
RNAcentral lists this long non-coding RNA (1653 nucleotides) under Oncorhynchus kisutch (coho salmon). Its description in RNAcentral is "lncRNA (ENSOKIG00005008530.1)". Lineage: Eukaryota; Metazoa; Chordata; Actinopteri; Salmoniformes; Salmonidae. The record is from RNAcentral.